RNAcentral lists this ribosomal RNA (253 nucleotides) under uncultured bacterium. Its description in RNAcentral is "partial 16S ribosomal RNA". It matches the Rfam family "Bacterial small subunit ribosomal RNA", at positions 524 to 776 of the family's 1533-position model. The record is from RNAcentral.
UACGGGGGGGGCAAGCGUUGUUCGGAAUUACUGGGCGUAAAGGGCUCGUAGGCGGCCAACUAAGUCAGACGUGAAAUCCCCAGGCUCAACCUGGGAACUGCGUCUGAUACUGGAUGGCUUGAAUCCGGGAGAGGGAUGCAGAACUCCAGGUGUAGCGGUGAAAUGCGUAGAUAUCUGGAGGAAUACCGGUGGCGAAGGCGGCAUCCUGGACCGGCAUUGACGCUGAGGAGCGAAAGCCAGGGGAGCAAACGGG